AGCCCGGUGGUGUAGUGGUCAAGCAUAGGGGCCUCUGGAGCCCUCGACGAGAGUUCGAAUCUCUCCCGGGCUA
RNAcentral lists this transfer RNA (73 nucleotides) under Candidatus Bathyarchaeota archaeon. RNAcentral's name for it is "tRNA-Gln". It matches the Rfam family "tRNA". From Rfam's summary of the family: Transfer RNA (tRNA) molecules are approximately 80 nucleotides in length. Their secondary structure includes four short double-helical elements and three loops (D, anti-codon, and T loops). The record is from RNAcentral. RNAcentral also lists the same sequence under 4 other names. Lineage: Archaea; Thermoproteati; Candidatus Bathyarchaeota.